GACGAACGCUGGCGGCGUGCUUAACACAUGCAAGUCGAACGGAAAGGCCCUGCUUUUGUGGGGUGCUCGAGUGGCGAACGGGUGAGUAACACGUGAGUAACCUGCCCUUGACUUUGGGAUAACUUCAGGAAACUGGGGCUAAUACCGGAUAGGAGCUCCUGCUGCAUGGUGGGGGUUGGAAAGUUUCGGCGGUUGGGGAUGGACUCGCGGCUUAUCAGCUUGUUGGUGGGGUAGUGGCUUACCAAGGCUUUGACGGGUAGCCGGCCUGAGAGGGUGACCGGCGACAUUGGGACUGAGAUACGGCCCAGUCUCCUACGGGAGGCAGCAGUGGGGAAUAUUACACAAUGGGCGGGGGCCUGAUGCAGCAACGCCGCGUGCGGGAUGACGGCCUUCGGGUGGUGAACCGCUUUCGCCUGUGACGAAGCGUGAGUGACGGUAAUGGGUAAAGAAGCACCGGCUAACUACGUG
This 468-nucleotide ribosomal RNA is filed under the name uncultured bacterium. Its description in RNAcentral is "partial 16S ribosomal RNA". It matches the Rfam family "Bacterial small subunit ribosomal RNA", at positions 28 to 507 of the family's 1533-position model. The record is from RNAcentral.